GACGAACGCUGGCGGCGUGCUUAACACACGCAAGUCGAACGGAAAGGCCCUGCUUUUGUGGGGUGCUCGAGUGGCGAACGGGUGAGUAACACGUGAGUAACCUGCCCUUGACUUUGGGAUAACUUCAGGAAACUGGGGCUAAUACCGGAUAGGAGCUCCUGCUGCAUGGUGGGGGUUGGAAAGUUUCGGCGGUUGGGGAUGGACUCGCGGCUUAUCAGCUUGUUGGUGGGGUAGUGGCUUACCAAGGCUUUGACGGGUAGCCGGCCUGAGAGGGUGACCGGCCACAUUGGGACUGAGAUACGGCCCAGACUCCUACGGGAGGCAGCAGUGGGGAAUAUUGCACAAUGGGCGGAAGCUUGAUGCAGCAACGCCGCGUGCGGGAUGACGGCCUUCGGGUUGUAAACCGCUUUCGCCUGUGACGAAGCGUGAGUGACGGUAAUGGGUAAAGAAGCACCGGCUAACUACGUG
RNAcentral lists this ribosomal RNA (468 nucleotides) under uncultured bacterium. RNAcentral describes it as "partial 16S ribosomal RNA". It matches the Rfam family "Bacterial small subunit ribosomal RNA", at positions 28 to 507 of the family's 1533-position model. The record is from RNAcentral.